Molecule: ribosomal RNA, 1494 nt
Filed under: uncultured bacterium
Lineage: Bacteria
Description: 16S ribosomal RNA
Rfam family: Bacterial small subunit ribosomal RNA
Source: RNAcentral
AGUUUGAUCCUGGCUCAGGACGAACGCUGGCGGCGUGCCUAACACAUGCAAGUCGAACGGGACUUAAUGGAAUGCGACUUCGGUCAAAGGAAGUUAAGUUUAGUGGCGAACGGGUGAGUAACGCGUGAGGAACCUGCCUUUCAGUGGGGGACAACAGUUGGAAACGACUGCUAAUACCGCAUAACAUAUUCGGACCGCAUGAUCUGAAUAUCAAAGCUUUAUGUGCUGAAAGAUGGCCUCGCGUCUGAUUAGCUAGUUGGUGGGGUAACGGCCCACCAAGGCGACGAUCAGUAGCCGGUCUGAGAGGAUGAACGGCCACAUUGGGACUGAGAUACGGCCCAGACUCCUACGGGAGGCAGCAGUGGGGAAUAUUGGGCAAUGGGGGAAACCCUGACCCAGCAACGCCGCGUGAAGGAAGAAGGCCUUCGGGUUGUAAACUUCUUUUACCAGGGACGAAGGACGUGACGGUACCUGGAGAAAAAGCAACGGCUAACUACGUGCCAGCAGCCGCGGUAAUACGUAGGUUGCAAGCGUUGUCCGGAUUUACUGGGUGUAAAGGGCGUGUAGGCGGAGCUGCAAGUCAGAAGUGAAAUGCCAUGGCUCAACCAUGGAGCUGCUUUUGAAACUACUGUUCUUGAGUAUCGGAGAGGAAAGCGGAAUUCCUAGUGUAGCGGUGAAAUGCGUAGAUAUUAGGAGGAACACCAGUGGCGAAGGCGGCUUUCUGGACGACAACUGACGCUGAGGCGCGAAAGUGUGGGGAGCAAACAGGAUUAGAUACCCUGGUAGUCCACACCGUAAACGAUGGAUACUAGGUGUAGGAGGUAUCGAUCCCUUCUGUGCCGCAGUUAACACAAUAAGUAUCCCGCCUGGGGAGUACGCACGCAAGUGUGAAACUCAAAGGAAUUGACGGGGGCCCGCACAAGCAGUGGAGUAUGUGGUUUAAUUCGAAGCAACGCGAAGAACCUUACCAGGAUUUGACAUCCUACUAACGAAGUAGAGAUACAUUAGGUGCCCUUCGGGGAAAGUAGAGACAGGUGGUGCAUGGUUGUCGUCAGCUCGUGUCGUGAGAUGUUGGGUUAAGUCCCGCAACGAGCGCAACCCUUAUCGUUAGUUGCUACGCAAGAGCACUCUAGCGAGACUGCCGUUGACAAAACGGAGGAAGGUGGGGACGACGUCAAAUCAUCAUGCCCCUUAUGUCCUGGGCUACACACGUAAUACAAUGACGGUUAACAAAGGGAUGCGAAACUGCGAGGUGGAGCGAACCCCCAAAAGCCGUCCCAGUUCGGAUCGCAGGCUGCAACCCGCCUGCGUGAAGUCGGAAUCGCUAGUAAUCGCGGAUCAGCAUGCCGCGGUGUAUACGUUCCCGGGCCUUGUACACACCGCCCGUCACACCAUGAGAGUCGGGAACACCCGAAGUCCGUAAUCUAACCUUCUAGGAGGACGCGGCCGAAGGUGGGUUCGAUAAUUGGGGUGAAGUCGUAACAAGGUAACCGU